CUUGGUCCUUACAUGCAAAUACUUUAUUGCCUUUGUCAUCCCCCCCUUACUACUCUUUUUAUAUAUAGUCUUUUUCAUCGAGAAAUCAUCCUAUGGGUAUGAUGUUUAUUUAUACAUUGGCGAGGAAUCAUGCCCUAAAUUAGAUAAAUCGAAACCAUCUUUGACAUCAGAUGAAUCAUCCAUUGAGUCAUCUGCAGAAGAAAAGGAUAGAGGUGAGUGAAACUUCGC
RNAcentral lists this long non-coding RNA (228 nucleotides) under Elaeis guineensis (African oil palm). RNAcentral describes it as "long non-coding RNA (EGUI_LNC071868)". The record is from RNAcentral. Lineage: Eukaryota; Viridiplantae; Streptophyta; Magnoliopsida; Arecales; Arecaceae.